UUUAUUUUAUUCAUUCUGGGGGCUUUCACAGCUUUAUGGCUGUUGGAUAUCUAUGUCCCCAAACUUGCAGCAAGUUUGGUGAAGGCCCCUAAAUUUAAUUUAAUUUAGGAUUUUUAUAAUCUUUUGGUAGAUGGGCUCUAUAUUAAUAUUCAUACUUAUUGGCUGUGGUGUUUUUGAAGAGGUUGGGGGGAAGGGAUAUUUAAGAUCGAUGUGGAUGCAACUUUUUUCCCUUUAUCCUUCAGCCAUUUCCCUUUUUUCCAAAUUCCAUGCACUAUUUUUUUGACAGUAAUAUUUAAUAAUGGAACUACAUGUAGCUUAUAUGAACACAUCUGUUGGGUGAUGCUGUUGCCUUUUCUGGGGAAAUGUAUUGAAUGCUACUUACUUGAAAUCCAGAAAUUUUAUUAUAACACUUUAAAUCCGUUUAGUUAUUAGGCCUACAGUAUUAAUUAUAAGAAUAUUAGUCAGAGCUGGAGGCAUAAAAUUAGCUGUAUUUAUAGAACCCUGAAUAAUAAUUUUCCAUAAAAGGAAGGAUAUAGUGAUAUACUUAAUAUUUUUGUUUUCACAUGUUAUACCAUGAAAGUUACACCAGAAGAGUAAAUAUUAAUGUAGAGCCCUGCAAAGAAGAAAUACAGAUUUGAGUUGGUAAAUAGAAAAAAGGAAUGAGAAAUUGAAGUUGUAGAUUUUGCAAAAAUGUCAGUUUGAAAGAUUUCCUUUUCAUCAGCCUCUUUUUUAAAAAGGCAUAAUAUUGUAAAGUUUGGUGUAUUGCACCAUGUAUUCUAAAAUCAUGGCAUUCAUUGCGAAUUUUGAGGGAUUUUUCAAUGUAACUUAACAUGUUUAAUAACUACCGUUACCAUAUCAACAGUAUUGAAGAUAAAACUGUACUCUUAUUUAGAAAAUGAGAACUUUACUAUCCUUAAAUAAUUUUAAAUUACUGUUUGAGCGGACUGCCCUUUUGCCUUUUUCUUGCGAAAGCAUUUGAUACCUAGACAAUUUCAGCCUGAGAAUAGGUUUUGUUCCUGUGUAAUCUGACUGCCUCUUGGCAGCAUUUGACUCUUACAAUUUCCAAAUUAAAAAAAUUAAUGUUUGCUAGGUUAUUUGAAAUUGCUGCAGCAGAUGAGUUUUUAAAGACAGUUUUUGAUGCACCAUAGAAACCGUUCAAUUUCUUUAACGUUUCCUUAAGUAAUGGUUAACUUGUAUGGCUUUCACAAGUCUGGUUGUGGCUCACAUUGUCUUUAAUACAAUUGACUGUCACCUACAAGAGUGGAACGUGUUCCUUCUGCCCUGUUGCUUUCCCCCUUUGGAACUCCUGCCCAACUUCCCCACACUCACAUUCUGAACCCCUUCUGGGUUUCUGAUCCUUCCUGGUGAGCUCCAGAAACUAGUUCUAAUCCUCACUAAUGCCCAAAUUUGUGAGACCUACGCACUGAAUGUUAACUGUAUUCAAGUAAUUGUUGAGCAAUUUGUGUUAUAUUCCUUAUUCUGUCAGUUUGAUGUUACCAUUUAUAACACUACAAGACAAUACUACAGUAACUAGCAUUUUUAUACUAAAUUUAUUCAAGUUUUAAGAGCACUGUCACUGUCUUGUCUCCUUAUUUGCAUAAACUGGUCACAGGCAAGAGUUUUCUUGCAGAAGAGAAUUGAAUAAGUAGUGUGUUGUAUGUGUUGCUACAGGUAUCUGAAUCAUUCUGUUAAGACUCAAUUAAUGAAAAGAGCCAGAGAUAUUUAGUGUUUAAUAUUCAUUAUUGAUUCAGUCUGCCUUAUAUCACCAUUUAAUAGACUGACACUAAAUAGUUUCCAUCCAAAUAUUUGCAUUUGGUUUGGUAAGUCUUCAGGUGUAUUUUGUAGUAGAAAUGUUCAAAUGUAGAUUAAUGUAUACCCUCCCCCUUGUCCAUAGUGUACAUUUGUACAAAGAUGAGUAUCCUUCUUUGAUCCACACUUGGGUUAUAUCCAAUAAACAUAUAUUCCUUGUGGCAGUUAAAUGUUCAGUGUCAUACUCAAACCAUCAAUUUGUUUUCACCUUUGCAUUGUUUGAAGAUACUAGUUUAAGAUGGUCAUGAGAAAUCACUUACUUGCACUUCCUAUUUCUGUUGUGCUAAUGCUCUUAAUAUAAUUUAAAUGUUUCUUCACCAUGCCAAAAAAACCUGAUGAUUCUCUUGUAUCUAUCUUGUGAAAUGAGACUAAGUACUGUAGUUCGUUCCUCCCCUAUCACUGUAGGGAUAUUUUCUUUUCUGCACUAGUUAUUCUCAUGUAAAUUUGAGAACAUACUUCUUGGAAUCCUAGUAGAAACUUUCAUCUGGAGGAAGACUAAUCGCUUUGCUAUCUACUUCCGAAAGAUGUACUCAGUGGCACUCCAGAAUAAUUCUGUAGGAUGUUGUGUGUAUUUGAGCUUCCUUUGCUAUAAUUUUCAAUUCAAUGCAUUUCAAGUGGUAUCGGAAAUCUCAAGUUGGUCUUCAGACACAAGCUUCGCUUCUCCCUUUCUCCCUGUUCCUGCCUCCCUCUAAGGGAGUUUUAUGAUUUUCAAAAGUUUCUCGUUUUGAGAUUUCAGUAAAAAUUUGAAGUUCAUAGGUCUCAGUGACUUCAGCAGGCAUGCCAAUAUUAUCUUAAUUCAGUGCCACAGUUGAUGUCCAUGUAUUAAUUUGAAAGCAACAAGAGAGCAGUUUGCAUUUGUUUUAAAUAUUCAGUGGUGAUAUGUGACCUAUAAAAGGUAGAGAGGCUUUGCUUUCUUUCUAACCACCCAUAAUGGCACACUGCUUUACAUUAUUUAAUUUAAUAGUUUUUCCUCAGCUCCUAGAUCAACUGACCAAUCUUAAGUGUUUCAAAAAGAUCUCUGAACACAAAUCUAGUUCUGAAGAAAAAAAUCUUGCUCCUAGUGUGAAGCUUGUCUGACACCCUUGAGUGUGGAUCUAAGGAGGAUAUUGCCAGGAAAAACUUAAAUUGUAAACAAGAAAUUCCCUAAUUCAAAGUAGUGUGAACUUACUGAUACCCUGUGUGUCACAAAGUUGCUCCAUUUCUGGCUUCCGUGUCUUUUCCCAAAGGCUCUUAAGAAUCACUUUAAAAUAUUACUCUUAUUUUCCUACAUUCUAAUGGAAGCAUUAGGUAUUAUUCCAUUUAAAGCUACAAGGACCUAUAUUUCAUGGACAAGAAAUGCUAUAAUGUUAAACUGCUAAAUCAGGUGAACUUGCGCAUAUCUCUCGUUACAUGCAAGGUAAAUAAUAGGAGUGGCAAAGUACAUGCCAUGCGUUAAGUUCUUGGAUGCUUUAGAAUGCUGUGAUGUUUGCCUUAUACAGAACACUUUGUAUAUUAGUAUUAAAUGCUGUCCCUUAAGUGCUGUGGAAAAUACUUAAUUCCAGUGUGCCUAUUUUCAAAAUGAUUUCACUAAAGCAGGGUUUCUCAAACUCCAUUGCAUCAUGACUGCCUUCUGACAACAAAUUACUACAUGACCCCAGGCAGGGGGACCGAAGCCUGAGCCAAAACCAAAGUUUGACCCCUGCUGUCCGGGGAUGGGGCAGGCCGAGGAGGAGGCAAAGCCGAAGCUUGAGGGCUUCAGCCCUGGGUGGUGGGGCUCUGACUUCGGCUUCAGCCCUGGACCCCAGCAAGUCUAAUGCCAGCUCUGGCGACCCCAUAAAAACGGGGUCGUGACCCACUUUGAGGUCCCAACCCACAGUUUGAGAACCACUGCAUUAAAGUAACUAGGAUUUUCUAUAGUCCAGUGAUUCUCAACCUAUUUACCAUUGUGGGCUGCAUCCAGUACUACCAGUAUGGCCCUGAGGAUAUCACAUGGGCUGCAGCUCUGUGCUGAUUGGGCCACAGGUUAAGAACCAUUGCGAUAGCCAAUCUGGAGAAAAGCAGUUAGUGGGUUUAGUGGCCUCUUUCUGCCACAAAUGUAGUGGUGGUCCAUUUUUGUGUUUGCCAUAAAAACUUGUCCAGAUAUUAGUUCAGGAGUGAGGAUAGUUGCUUUGGAAAUAGACCUUGUUGAGUUUUUGUGUUUGUGCAAAACACAUUUAAUCAUCUGACUGUUGUGAUUCAGUAAAAAUACAUUGCUCAGAUGGCAGCUCUCUGCAGAUCUCUACCCCAUCAGAAUAGGAAGUAGAUAAGAAUAAUCACAGCUAGAAUGAAUACUGGUAUCAUGUUUCUGCUAGUGUAUCUGCAGUUUAACUGCAACAUCAUUGCUGGCCAAGUGACCUACGUAUACUGAGGACCUCUAUGCAAGAGAGCCAGACUUUUAAUCCACAAUUUCUUGAUCCGUUGGCUAACACAGACUUGAAAUACAACAGACUCCUCAGGGUGGUUACAAUUUGUGCGCCUCACUUCUCAACCCAACUUUUUUCUCAAGAGACGUGGAAGGAUCCACAGUCAGGAGUCCUGACCAGUCCUUGAUUGGCCAGAUGGUCCCCACGUAAAGCCUGAGAGUAAAGGAGGAAAAGGUGAACUACCAGUUGGAUUUCCACUACAACAUCCACAUUUCAUUCAGGUCGUCAGACACAGUGUAGUGUUGUUAAGAUCCAGGCUUUUUAUUCAGCCUUAAUUCAAAUUCUGUCUAGUAGGAUGGUAUAUCUUGAAUGCUGGGAUACUCCACACUUCUCUGCAAGUCUGUGCACCAGUUCUUUUGAUUUCUCCAACCAUCUAUCUCCCUAGCAGAAAACUCUAGUUUUAAUAGUACCAUUUUUAAAUGGUGCUGAACUCAUCUUAAAACACUGGUAAUGAGCUCAUCUCAAGGUUUGUCUUGACUAGGAAUUAAAAGGUAAGACCAACAGCUGGUGACAGUGUAGCAUUCUCUUGUAUAAGUUCAUGUUUGAUGUAAUAGAUGAUCAUUUCAGGCUUCCUAGAAUAGCAAGUUAAGAAAUCUGAUUUUUGAGGCCAUGGGAUUUUUUCCCUCUCCCCUCCUUUAUAGGGUGUGUAGAGAGAAGACACAUUGUGGCAGGGAAGUUAAUAGGUCAGAUGAGGUAUGUGUUGCCUCAGGGUUUCCUUUUUGUUUUUGCUAUAUCAGUAUAAAUUUUAAUCACAUUUCAAGAGUAAUUCUUUUUAAAUUGAAUUACACAUCUGCUGUUCCUACUAGAACUGUGUUAACUAGUCCCAACUUCAACCUCUUGGUUUUGAAUGUGGGAAUUUUCAUCAUACCUAAGAACAGCCCACAUAUACUCAAAGGAAUCCAUUUCUCUGUUCCCUGAUUUAUGAAUCACACACCAAGACAAAGUAAAACUGAUUUCACAAACAACUUCACCUCUAUUGCCUCAGUGAAGCAGGUGAAAUUUGAGAAAAUAAUAAGUGUACCCAAUCUAUUUUCACUGAGUGCUCUUUAACAGGGUCACUCUUGCAACUACAACUUGUAAUCCCUUAACAUUCAGGUUUGUCCAAGAGGUAUUUAUCAUAUUACACUUGUCUGGUACAUGAGUCAGAAAAGUUUGAAUCAAAUUUAAAGGCAAAUUAACCAUAAUUUUAUAGCUGCCUUUAGUCCAUUUCUUUUUUUAAAAAGGGACAUUGUACCAAUUGAGGUUUGAAAAAAAAAUUUUAAAUGAGAACUAAAUUAUGGAUAAACUCCUUGAUUUAAUACAACUUGUGUUUUUGUUAACUAGCAGCAGAAUUUCAGCAUUUGCUACUUACUGGUAGAGAAGAAAAAUCCCACAGCACUGCCAGUACAGGUUAGUUUAAUCUCAUUCAGUUGACAGAGAAGUGUUGAAGACCAUAUGGAACCAAGAACAAUGAAUCAAACUUGCAUUCUGUGUGUUCUUAUGAGGCUCAUAUUUCUUCAGGAAUGGGAAAUUGGAUAUAUAUACUUCCAUAAUAUGUAUCUAUUUAAUUCUGACUUUCUCUAAUGAUUAAACUUAGUAAUUUAAUAAAUGAA
Caretta caretta (loggerhead turtle) is the source of this 5842-nucleotide non-coding RNA. The record is from RefSeq and is a predicted model, not a curated record. Lineage: Eukaryota; Metazoa; Chordata; Testudines; Cheloniidae.